UGCCAACUCGAAGAGAGUGUAUAUGAUAAAUCAUUAUUCUUGCUGAACUUUAUGUAAAUAAUCUGGCCAGAAACUAAACUUAUUUUGCAAAUAUCCUAGUCUUCUCAUAAAUAUCUUUGGUAAAAACAGGCAACUUGCAGAGAAGACAGUUACAUUUCAAAAGAAAACUAUAGUGCAUCUGUUACUAGAUUCUAGUACUGUCUUUUAAUCUAUUGGUAAAGUUUGUAUCCUCUAGGCUCCAGCAGCUGCCCAUCAAGAUGAUGGUGCCACGAGGAUUCCAACCUGUCUCCUCCCAUGAGGAACUGAGUCCCUAUAAAUCACUUGAUCAGUCAGCGAGAGAUCUUUACACCUCCGGCAGGCAGCUAGCUGACUCCUGCAUGUGCACAAAGCUUCAAGGUGACUGCUACAAUGGCCCUCCUGGGGUGAUGACAAUGAGCAACACCAAAAUCUUGGACCUACUGAGCAGGCGCAAGGAGCAAAGCCUUAACUGAGCAUGCAUCCAUGACACAGCUAGGAAGAGCAGAAUGGACCACCUCCAGAGGGCAGAAUGAUGCUACUGGCCUGCACUUCCUGCCCCCUCGCCCCCUUGCCCUAUAAAGGAUCCUGAACAGCUCCCCUGAGGGAGCUAGCUUCCCUAUUGCUACCUCCCUUAUGUGCAAGUCUGUCUUGUCUUUCAAUAAAGUAUAGCUUGCCUUAC
Long non-coding RNA from Galeopterus variegatus (Sunda flying lemur), 697 nucleotides. RefSeq lists it as uncharacterized. NCBI's taxonomy places the organism in Eukaryota, Metazoa, Chordata, Mammalia, Dermoptera, Cynocephalidae. The record is from RefSeq and is a predicted model, not a curated record. The transcript is spliced from 2 exons.